ACCAGGCAGAGUAACAUUACCUUUGUUUCUACUAAAUGUUUUCUGUACCUACAUAAUUUUGUGCUUUACAAAGUCCUUUUGAUUUAAACUAACUUCUGGCUCUACAAAUAUUUUUAUUUUUUUUAACUUGAAGUUGGUUUAACCAUUGGCAGAGUGAGACUUUUAAAAUUAAAUAAAACAACUGAAAGCUUGGAGCAGUGACAUGCAUGACGACUUCUUUUAUUUGUGUUUUUUUGUAUUUGUGUGUUCUUGCUGUUUUGUAGCUUUCGCGCUCUAGUUCAAUGAGUUCAUUAUCACGUGAAGUAAGCCAGCAUUUUAAUCAGCCUUCCGCCGUACCACCCUCAGGGGGACCUCCAGCAGGAACAGUACAGUUCUACAAUCCCUCUCAAUUUGCACAAUCUCCUGCAGUUACUGGAAGUUCAAGGCUGGGAAGAAUUGGACAGAGGAAAUACCCAACGUUGAAGUAGAAUACCGUGGUUUUGUAUUCAAAUUCACACUCUUGUUCUGAUUAUACAACGAACUCUUCAAUCUUAUGGCCCGUGCAUCAGUGCUAGCUUGCAAUUAACAGGACAGUAAUUUGAGGAUGGGUGAUUUUUUUUUUCCUGAGUCUUGCUACUCGCACCUCAUCUACACAAGUAAUUACCAAACAUAAAAUAUAUGUACCUUUUCCUUUUAAGAACUGGCUAGAAACAGCUCGUUGUGGUAAAGAAUAGACCUAAGGGAGGAAAUAGCUGCUGUCUGUUACAAAAACUCUUGGUAAAUUGCAUAGGCAAUUGAUUCCUUAAGUUUAUUUUAAACGGACUAGUGUGACUUUCAGACAUAGGUGUCAGGGAUUCCUUAAUUUCUGAAGGAGACUCCCCUCCCAGUGGGGAACAUACAUGUCCACAUUGUAAUAUAACACUCUGUGGCCUUAAGAGGACCAUGCACAAUUUUAAUGCUUAUAAAACAAGACUUGAUUUGUCAACAUACGAAAUUCA
This is a non-coding RNA of Tinamus guttatus (white-throated tinamou), 977 nucleotides long. The record is from RefSeq and is a predicted model, not a curated record. NCBI's taxonomy places the organism in Eukaryota, Metazoa, Chordata, Aves, Tinamiformes, Tinamidae.